Molecule: long non-coding RNA, 1787 nt
Organism: Homo sapiens (human)
Lineage: Eukaryota; Metazoa; Chordata; Mammalia; Primates; Hominidae
Gene: PI4KAP1
Product: phosphatidylinositol 4-kinase alpha pseudogene 1
Source: Ensembl
AAAAAAUUAACUGGGCAUGGUGGUGGGCACCUGUAGUCCCAGCUACUCGGGAGGCUGAGGCAGGAGAAUCUCUUGAACCCAGGAGGCAGAGGUUGCAGUGAGCCAAGAUCAUGCCACUGCACUCCAGCCUGGCGACAGAGCGAGACUCCAUUUAAAAAAAAAAACACCAGGGCAUCUGUAAGCCACUUUGGGAGUCAAAAGAAUGUAGAGCUGGGCUGGACUCCUUAGAAGAAAGUUAAGUUCUGAGUGUGGGAGGAAGUGCCUGCACCCCCACAUCCAGACAGCCCGUCACUCCUGCUGCCGAAGACUGACUUGCUGAUUCGGGCUCUGCCUCCAUAGUGGGGGCACAGAGCCAGGGAGAGUGCCCACAGGCCCAGGGAUCCUGGGUGUGGGACCAGGGAGAAUGCCCACAGGCCCCAGGGCCUUUUUGAGCCCAGGGCGCUCUCUGCACAGGCCUGCUACAACUUCAUCCGAAGCAUGGCCGCCUACAGCCUCCUGCUGUUCCUGCUGCAGAUCAAGGACAGACACAACGGCAACAUUAUGCUGGACAAGAAGGGCCAUAUCAUCCACAUCGGUCAGCCAGCCACAGCGCCACCCUCCUCUCCCUUCACCCCGGCACCCAGGGGUGGAUAGGGAUCCCCACCCCACAGAGAGGAGAAUGCCCAGGACCACCCUGCCAGGAGUGUCAGGGUCCAGCUCUGAGGUCCGAACUGUCGGCCACCAAGCUGUUCUGCUGUAGAGGGUGCCUGGCCCCGGCCCCAGGGAGCUGGGGCGAGAGCCGCCAUUGCUCUGAGUCAGAAGCUGGAGCUGGGCGGAGUGGGGCUCGUCCAGGUUCAGUGCCCCAGCUUGGCUCCUUCCUCCACUUCCUCCCUUCUCUUUCUCUGCCUGCUGCCCCACCACCCACCCCAUCACUGUCUCCAAGAAAACACAACCUGCCUUUUGGGGGUGGAGGGGGUGCUCCUGUUGCAGAGUCCUUUUCCACUCCUCAAAACAGACCACUCGUCCUUGCCCGCCCUGGCUCCUACCCAGUCACAGGCAGCUCUUUGGGGUUUUGCAGACUUUGGCUUCAUGUUUGAAAGCUCGCCGGGCGGCAAUCUCGGCUGGGAACCCGACAUCAAGCUGACGGAUGAGAUGGUGAUGAUCAUGGGGGGCAAGAUGGAGGCCACACCCUUCAAGUGGUUCAUGGAGAUGUGUGUCCAGGCUACCUGGCUGUGCGGCCCUACAUGGAUGUGGUCGUCUCCCUGGUCACUAUCAUGUUGGACACGGGCCUGCCCUGUUUUCGCGGCCAGACAAUCAAGUUCUUGAAGCACAGGUUUAGCCCCAACAUGACUGAGCGCGAGGCUGCAAAUUUCAUCAUGAAGGUCAUCCAGAGCUGCUUCCUCAGCAACAGGAGCCGGACCUACAACAUGAUCCAGUACUAUCAGAAUGACAUCCCCUACUGAGGAGGGGACCUUCGAGGGCCUCUGCCCCAUGUGCCCUUGAAGCUGCCCCACAAUCAUGGAGCCCUGCGACCUACCCGCCCUGCCGCCACAUGCAGUGGAGGAGAGGCCUGUGGCCCGAAGAGCCUGGUAGCGCCUCCUGGGGCAGCACGUGGGUGGCGCAGGCUUAGUAACGCCGUGGACUGCAGCGACAAUCAGUGGAUGGUGCUGUCUAUGCACAGGUGUGAGUCCUCUGUUUGCACUGGACAUAUUCCCUACCUGUUUUAUUUCAUAGGUACAUGAAGUAUUGUGUAUAAAAAAAGAGAUAAGAUUUAACCAACAUCAACAAAAUAAAAACCCAAAAUAGUG